RNAcentral lists this ribosomal RNA (820 nucleotides) under Mycolicibacterium fortuitum. RNAcentral's name for it is "bacterial SSU rRNA". It matches the Rfam family "Bacterial small subunit ribosomal RNA", at positions 88 to 921 of the family's 1533-position model. Lineage: Bacteria; Bacillati; Actinomycetota; Actinomycetes; Mycobacteriales; Mycobacteriaceae. The record is from RNAcentral.
UACUCGAGUGGCGAACGGGUGAGUAACACGUGGGUGAUCUGCCCUGCACUUUGGGAUAAGCCUGGGAAACUGGGUCUAAUACCGAAUAGGACCACACUCUUCAUGGUGUGUGGUGGAAAGCUUUGCGGUGUGGGAUGGGCCCGCGGCCUAUCAGCUUGUUGGUGGGGUAAUGGCCUACCAAGGCGACGACGGGUAGCCGGCCUGAGAGGGUGACCGGCCACACUGGGACUGAGAUACGGCCCAGACUCCUACGGGAGGCAGCAGUGGGGAAUAUUGCACAAUGGGCGCAAGCCUGAUGCAGCGACGCCGCGUGAGGGAUGACGGCCUUCGGGUUGUAAACCUCUUUCAAUAGGGACGAAGCGCAAGUGACGGUACCUAUAGAAGAAGGACCGGCCAACUACGUGCCAGCAGCCGCGGUAAUACGUAGGGUCCGAGCGUUGUCCGGAAUUACUGGGCGUAAAGAGCUCGUAGGUGGUUUGUCGCGUUGUUCGUGAAAACUCACAGCUUAACUGUGGGCGUGCGGGCGAUACGGGCAGACUAGAGUACUGCAGGGGAGACUGGAAUUCCUGGUGUAGCGGUGGAAUGCGCAGAUAUCAGGAGGAACACCGGUGGCGAAGGCGGGUCUCUGGGCAGUAACUGACGCUGAGGAGCGAAAGCGUGGGGAGCGAACAGGAUUAGAUACCCUGGUAGUCCACGCCGUAAACGGUGGGUACUAGGUGUGGGUUUCCUUCCUUGGGAUCCGUGCCGUAGCUAACGCAUUAAGUACCCCGCCUGGGGAGUACGGCCGCAAGGCUAAAACUCAAAGGAAUUGACGGGGGCC